UAGAUGCAAGGCACGUGGAUGUACAACAAGGACACAGGUGACGUAUCCGUACUCGCACUAGUUGUGUGCUCCACACGCCUCAUUGCUGCCAUAGUCGCUGUUGGGGAUCUCGGUACAAUUGCACUAUGCCGGCCGGGGCUGCUGCAUGGUCAGUGAGUGCACACGAGGACUGCAGGUGGCUCUCGCACAUGGUCUUCUUCCAAGGGAAGCUCUGCGCUCUUGACGGCAAUACUGACCCUGAGGAUCUUAUUGCCAUUGACAUUGUCGAUGAUGAUGACUGCCACGAGCCAAGGGUGUCUAGAAUUGAGCGCCUCAUUGUAGGUGCCUCCUUGCCACCCCAAAAUUAUAUUUUCUGGGAGGACUACCUCCUUGAAUCACAUGGCACACUACUAAUGAUCCGCAGAAAGCUUUACUACAAAGCAGAGCACCCGUCUGAAAGAAGACACGGCGGCAUUUUUGUGGCUGGUAGCAGCGAGUAAUCAAGUGUUUGAGGCUUACUUUGAGGAGGGCUUGUGGUCUGAGGUGAGGACUUUGGGGAAUGACCAAGCAUUGUUCCUUGGGCGAGGAUGCUCGAGAGCUAUCCAUGUGUCUCCGUACGAUCUUUCACGGGACUGUCUCUUCUUCCUAGAUGAUUACACCGACUGGAUUUGGAAGAAAACAACUACAUCUUGCGGAGUGUAUGACAUGAAAGAUGAGAAGGUCUAUUCGGCCUUGCCUAUGGUAUCUUGGAAGAGUGGAGAUGUCCCAGCAACCUGGCUUUUCUGACAAGGUGAGACACAUAAGCUGCAAGCAGCAGGGGAGCAUCUGCAGGAAAUUGUGGGACCAGAACAAGAUGAUCCUCAGAUGCUGGACUAUGGAGGGACUUGUGCUGCCGGUGCUUCUACUGCUCAGCGAAACUGCUAGGAAGGGUUGGUUAAAGAAAUCUUCAUGUAGCCAUGUGUUCCUACACAAAAGGCUAUGACAGUACUAAGGCACGCUUGGAUACCACUAGCUAGGAGCUGCGUGAAAAUAAUGUCUGGCCUGUUGUUGCCGUUAAACUUGUGUUUUCAUGUCUACGGCGUCACUUCAAACACCCUGUUCUAAUUAAAGGUGCUCCUUACAUUUGGUA
Long non-coding RNA from Panicum virgatum (switchgrass), 1108 nucleotides. RefSeq lists it as uncharacterized. The transcript has 2 exons. The record is from RefSeq and is a predicted model, not a curated record. NCBI's taxonomy places the organism in Eukaryota, Viridiplantae, Streptophyta, Magnoliopsida, Poales, Poaceae.